This 496-nucleotide ribosomal RNA is filed under the name uncultured bacterium. RNAcentral describes it as "partial 16S ribosomal RNA". It matches the Rfam family "Bacterial small subunit ribosomal RNA", at positions 28 to 506 of the family's 1533-position model. The record is from RNAcentral.
GAUGAACGCUGGCGGCGUGCCUAAUACAUGCAAGUCGAGCGAACAGACGAGGAGCUUGCUCCUCUGACGUUAGCGGCGGACGGGUGAGUAACACGUGGAUAACCUACCUAUAAGACUGGGAUAACUUCGGGAAACCGGAGCUAAUACCGGAUAACAUGUUGAACCGCAUGGUUCAACAGUGAAAGACGGUCUUGCUGUCACUUAUAGAUGGAUCCGCGCCGCAUUAGCUAGUUGGUAAGGUAACGGCUUACCAAGGCAACGAUGCGUAGCCGACCGGAGAGGGGGAUCGGCCCCACGGGAAUUGAGACACGGACCAGACUCCAACGGGGGGCAGCAGUAGGGAAUCUGGCGGAAGGGGGGAAAGCCUGACGGAGCAACGCAGCGUGAUGGAAGAAGGUCUUCGGAUCGUAAAACUCUGUUAUUAGGGAAGAACAAAUGUGUAAGUAACUAUGCACGUCUGGACGGUACCUAAUCAGAAAGCCACGGCUAAUUACGG